UUACCCUACGGGACGCAGCAGUGAGGAAUAUUGGUCAAUGGGCGCGAGCCUGAACCAGCCAAGUCGCGUGAGGGAUGACGGUCCUACGGAUUGUAAACCUCUUUUGCCGGGGAGCAAGCGUGCGUUCGUGAACGCGCGUCGAGAGUACCCGGAGAAAAAGCAUCGGCUAACUCCGUGCCAGCAGCCGCGGUAAUACGGAGGAUGCGAGCGUUAUCCGGAUUUAUUGGGUUUAAAGGGUGCGUAGGCGGAAGGUUAAGUCAGCGGUCAAAUGUCGGUGCUCAACACCGGCCUGCCGUUGAAACUGG
This 305-nucleotide ribosomal RNA is filed under the name uncultured bacterium. RNAcentral describes it as "bacterial SSU rRNA". It matches the Rfam family "Bacterial small subunit ribosomal RNA", at positions 334 to 636 of the family's 1533-position model. The record is from RNAcentral.